RNAcentral lists this ribosomal RNA (460 nucleotides) under uncultured bacterium. RNAcentral's name for it is "partial 16S ribosomal RNA". It matches the Rfam family "Bacterial small subunit ribosomal RNA", at positions 338 to 795 of the family's 1533-position model. The record is from RNAcentral.
CCUACGGGGGGCUGCAGUGAGGAAUAUUGGUCAAUGGACGCAAGUCUGAACCAGCCAUGCCGCGUGCAGGAAGACGGCCCUAUGAGUUGUAAACUGCUUUUGUACGAGGGUAAACGCAGUUACGUGUAUCUGUUUGAAUGUAUCGUACGAAUAAGGAUCGGCUAACUCCGUGCCAGCAGCCGCGGUAAUACGGAGGAUUCAAGCGUUAUCCGGAUUUAUUGGGUUUAAAGGGUGCGUAGGCGGUCGGAUAAGUUAGAGGUGAAAUCCCGAGGCUCAACUUCGGAAUUGCCUCUGAUACUGUUCGGCUGGAGAGUAGUGGCGGUAGGCGGAAUGCAUGGUGUAGCGGUGAAAUGCUUAGAGAUCACGCAGAACACCGAUUGCGAAGGCAGCUUACCAAGCUACUUCUGACGUUGAGGCACGAAAGCGUGGGGAGCAAACAGGAUUAGAUACCCCGGUAGUC